CAGCAGCCGCGGUAGUACGAAGGGGGCUAGCGUUGCUCGGAAUUACUGGGCGUAAAGGGAGCGUAGGCGGAUGUUUGAGUCAGAGGUGAAAGCCCAGGGCUCAACCUUGGAACUGCCUUUGAUACUGGACAUCUUGAGUGUGGGAGAGGUAAGCGGAACUCCGAGUGUAGAGGUGAAAUUCGUAGAUAUUCGGAAGAACACCAGUGGCGAAGGCGGCUUACUGGCCCAUUACUGACGCUGAGGCUCGAAAGCGUGGGGAGCAAACAGGAUUAGAUACCCGCGUAGUCCCUGUCUCUUAUAC
RNAcentral lists this ribosomal RNA (301 nucleotides) under uncultured bacterium. Its description in RNAcentral is "partial 16S ribosomal RNA". It matches the Rfam family "Bacterial small subunit ribosomal RNA", at positions 509 to 807 of the family's 1533-position model. The record is from RNAcentral.